GGCGCCAUGGCUCAGUUGGUUAAAGCACCUGUCUAGUAAACAGGAGAUCCUGGGUUCGAGUCCCAGUGGUGCCU
Molecule: non-coding RNA, 74 nt
Organism: Nipponia nippon (crested ibis)
Lineage: Eukaryota; Metazoa; Chordata; Aves; Pelecaniformes; Threskiornithidae
Source: Rfam